Molecule: ribosomal RNA, 253 nt
Filed under: uncultured bacterium
Lineage: Bacteria
Description: partial 16S ribosomal RNA
Rfam family: Bacterial small subunit ribosomal RNA
Source: RNAcentral
UACGUAGGGUGCGAGCGUUAAUCGGAAUUACUGGGCGUAAAGCGUGCGCAGGCGGUUUUGUAAGUCAGGUGUGAAAUCCCCGGGCUCAACCUGGGAAUGGCAUUUGGGACUGCAAGGCUUGAGUGCGGCAGAGGAGACUGGAAUUCCUGGUGUAGCAGUGAAAUGCGUAGAUAUCAGGAGGAAUACCGAUGGCGAAGGCAGGUCUCUGGGCUGACACUGACGCUCAGGCACGAAAGCGUGGGGAGCAAACAGG